RNAcentral lists this ribosomal RNA (718 nucleotides) under Alteromonas macleodii. RNAcentral describes it as "bacterial SSU rRNA". It matches the Rfam family "Bacterial small subunit ribosomal RNA", at positions 112 to 832 of the family's 1533-position model. The record is from RNAcentral. Lineage: Bacteria; Pseudomonadati; Pseudomonadota; Gammaproteobacteria; Alteromonadales; Alteromonadaceae.
AAUGCUUGGGAACUUGCCUUUGCGAGGGGGAUAACAGUUGGAAACGACUGCUAAUACCGCAUAAUGUCUUCGGACCAAACGGGGCUUCGGCUCCGGCGCAAAGAGAGGCCCAAGUGAGAUUAGCUAGUUGGUAAGGUAACGGCUUACCAAGGCGACGAUCUCUAGCUGUUCUGAGAGGAAGAUCAGCCACACUGGGACUGAGACACGGCCCAGACUCCUACGGGAGGCAGCAGUGGGGAAUAUUGCACAAUGGGGGAAACCCUGAUGCAGCCAUGCCGCGUGUGUGAAGAAGGCCUUCGGGUUGUAAAGCACUUUCAGUUGUGAGGAAAAGUUAGUAGUUAAUACCUGCUAGCCGUGACGUUAACAACAGAAGAAGCACCGGCUAACUCCGUGCCAGCAGCCGCGGUAAUACGGAGGGUGCGAGCGUUAAUCGGAAUUACUGGGCGUAAAGCGCACGCAGGCGGUUUGUUAAGCUAGAUGUGAAAGCCCCGGGCUCAACCUGGGAUGGUCAUUUAGAACUGGCAGACUAGAGUCUUGGAGAGGGGAGUGGAAUUCCAGGUGUAGCGGUGAAAUGCGUAGAUAUCUGGAGGAACAUCAGUGGCGAAGGCGACUCCCUGGUCAAGACUGACGCUUCAUGUGCGAAAGUGUGGGUAGCGAACAGGAUUAGAUACCCUGGAAGUCCACACCGUAAACGCUGUCUACUAGCUGUGUGUGUCUU